Danio aesculapii is the source of this 1264-nucleotide long non-coding RNA. RefSeq lists it as uncharacterized. The record is from RefSeq and is a predicted model, not a curated record. The transcript has 3 exons. Lineage: Eukaryota; Metazoa; Chordata; Actinopteri; Cypriniformes; Danionidae.
CGCGCUCUGACUUUUGCUACACAUCUCCCGCUAUCUCUGUAGCAGAACUCAUCUGUGCACUUGCAAAUGCAGAUGCGCGAGCAGCGCGGGGCGGGGCAGGUGUAAAGCUGUUUGAUUGGCUGAUGCCUGACCAAUGAACAAUGCCAGCAGCCAACAGGACUGAGGUGCAAAAGAAUCAUUUCCCACGAUUAUUUUAUUAUUUAGGGUUUAUUUCAAUUCUUUUCUGAAGAGAUUCUUGUUAAAAAUCAUUAAUCUGCGGAAAUGUACAUACCAGUAAAAGAGCAGCAAAGCCAGUUUAUUGGCUAGAGCCAGCCAAUAAGAUGGGGCGUUUCUGUUUGUCAGGACACAGGGCAGCUCACGUUGUUGGAGGCCUCGAGCAAUCAGAGGGUCCACAACUUGCAUCCUUCAACAUGAUGUGUGUUCAAAGGAAGAGCAACUAGUUUCCUGUAAGGAUGGAGUGACAGGAGAGAUCAGCCUGUUUCAAGUCGAUGACUAACUCAGAGAAGCUGCAUAGCUUGAAUAGGAUGUUGUUUAUGCUAAAGAUGACAUGAUGAUCUAGCUCAUCUACAAACACUUCAAAAUGAUUCAGAUCAUUCAAGAGGAAGCCAACCAUUUAUUUUCUCUUUUUACCUGCCAAGAUGACUACAGAUUUGAACAAAACACACACUCACCCACACACACACAACUUUUAUUUUGAUAAUUGUUUAAUGUAGUAUUUUUACACUUUACUGUAAGGCAGGGGUGUCAAACUCACUUCCUGGAGGGCCGUAAGCCUGCAUGUUUUUAGUUUCAACCCUGCUUCUACACACUUAAGUGAAAGUUUCAAACAAACCUGAAGGACUCAAUUAGUUUGAUCAGGUGUGUUUAAUUAGGGUUAGAACUAAACUUUGCAUAGCUGCAGCCCUCCAGGAACUGAGUUUGACACCUGUGCUGUAAGGGAAAUGUUUAACAUUAAUUUGUCAAAUAAAAUUUACAGUGCAAAUAAGUGCAGUGCAAAUAUCUAGUUACUUGUAUUUAAAUAUUUCAGGGUUUUUCCUUGUUCAUAAUGAGAUGGAGGUGGUAAAUCCAACUUCAUCAUUACCCAUCAAAUGUUAUCUCCUCUUUAAUCCUUUGCUCAAGCCUUUACUAAUGGUCAGAAAGCAAGCCAUUGUGUAAAGCUGGUUGAUGCUCGCUGUAAUAGAGAGAGACGAUGACUGUUCAGCUUAUGUUGCUUAACCCUGCAGAUGGGAUGCUCAAAGUGGACCCUCAGCCGAGCGAUGGACAC